RNAcentral lists this ribosomal RNA (840 nucleotides) under Pristimantis aff. verecundus CRH-2015. Its description in RNAcentral is "partial 16S ribosomal RNA". It matches the Rfam family "Bacterial large subunit ribosomal RNA", at positions 1206 to 2568 of the family's 2925-position model. Lineage: Eukaryota; Metazoa; Chordata; Amphibia; Anura; Strabomantidae. The record is from RNAcentral.
UUUGAAAGCGUUUAAGCUUUUUUUGUUAACCCCAAUUCCUCCACCCUGCUAGAUCCCUUUAAUUACACUGAGAACUUCUAUAAAAUUAUAGAACAUUUUAUGCUAAAACUAGUAACAAGAGCUUACCCCUCUCUACAAUGCAAGUAUAAGCCAGCAAGAACUCAUCACUGGCAAAUAGCAGGCCUAAAUUCAAGUAGCAACCCCCCCCCCCCGAAAACACUACCUCACCUUAACUGUUAACCUAACACUAGAGCAUUCCAAGAAAGAUUAAAAGGGGGAGAAGGAAUUCCGCAAAUAUUAGUUCCGCCUGUUUACCAAAAACAUCGCCUCUUGUGAAUCAAUAAGAGGUCUAGCCUGCCCAGUGACUCUGUUCAACGGCCGCGGUAUCCUAACCGUGCAAAGGUAGCGUAAUCACUUGUCCCCUAAAUAGAGACUAGUAUGAAAGGCAUCACGAGAACUAAACUGUCUCCUCCCCCUAAUCAGUGAACCUAAUAACCCCGUGAAGAAGCGGGGAUCUCAAUAUAAGACGAGAAGACCCUAUGGAGCUUAAAACACUACAUCACCUGCCACCCACUUAUCCACCCUGGCACACUGAUUAUAUGUUUUUGGUUGGGGUGACCGCGGAGAAAAGCCUAUCCCCCGCGAUAAAGGAAUCCUCCACAAACAGUAAGUCACAACUUUAUGUAUCAGAAAACUGACAUUAUUGACCCAAUAUAUUUGAUCAACGAACCAAGUUACCCUAGGGAUAACAGCGCAAUCCACUUCGAGAGCUCCUAUCGACAAGUGGGCUUACGACCUCGAUGUUGGAUCGGGGUAUCCUAGUGGUGUAGCCGCUACUAA